GAUGAACGCUGGCGGCGUGCCUAACACAUGCAAGUCGAGCGAACGGACGAGAAGCUUGCUUCUCUGAUGUUAGCGGCGGACGGGUGAGUAACGCGUGGAUAACCUACCUAUAAGACUGGGAUAACUUCGGGAAACCGGAGCUAAUACCGGAUAAUAUUUUGAACCGCAUGGUUCAAAAGUGAAAGACGGUCUUGCUGUCACUUAUAGAUGGAUCCGCGCUGCAUUAGCUAGUUGGUAAGGUAACGGCUUACCAAGGCAACGAUGCAUAGCCGACCUGAGAGGGUGAUCGGCCACACUGGAACUGAGACACGGUCCAGACUCCUACGGGAGGCAGCAGUAGGGAAUCUUCCGCAAUGGGCGAAAGCCUGACGGAGCAACGCCGCGUGAGUGAUGAAGGUCUUCGGAUCGUAAAACUCUGUUAUUAGGGAAGAACAUAUGUGUAAGUAACUGUGCACAUCUUGACGGUACCUAAUCAGAAAGCCACGGCUAACUACGUGCCAGCAGCCGCGGUAAUACGUAGGUGGCAAGCGUUAUCCGGAAUUAUUGGGCGUAAAGCGCGCGUAGGCGGUUUUUUAAGUCUGAUGUGAAAGCCCACGGCUCAACCGUGGAGGGUCAUUGGAAACUGGAAAACUUGAGUGCAGAAGAGGAAAGUGGAAUUCCAUGUGUAGCGGUGAAAUGCGCAGAGAUAUGGAGGAACACCAGUGGCGAAGGCGACUUUCUGGUCUGUAACUGACGCUGAUGUGCGAAAGCGUGGGGAUCAAACAGGAUUAGAUACCCUGGUAGUCCACGCCGUAAACGAUGAGUGCUAAGUGUUAGGGGGUUUCCGCCCCUUAGUGCUGCAGCUAACGCAUUAAGCACUCCGCCUGGGGAGUACGACCGCAAGGUUGAAACUCAAAGGAAUUGACGGGGACCCGCACAAGCGGUGGAGCAUGUGGUUUAAUUCGAAGCAACGCGAAGAACCUUACCAAAUCUUGACAUCCUUUGACAACUCUAGAGAUAGAGCCUUCCCCUUCGGGGGACAAAGUGACAGGUGGUGCAUGGUUGUCGUCAGCUCGUGUCGUGAGAUGUUGGGUUAAGUCCCGCAACGAGCGCAACCCUUAAGCUUAGUUGCCAUCAUUAAGUUGGGCACUCUAAGUUGACUGCCGGUGACAAACCGGAGGAAGGUGGGGAUGGCGUCAAAUCAUCAUGCCCCUUAUGAUUUGGGCUACACACGUGCUACAAUGGACAAUACAAAGGGCAGCGAAACCGCGAGGUCAAGCAAAUCCCAUAAAGUUGUUCUCAGUUCGGAUUGUAGUCUGCAACUCGACUACAUGAAGCUGGAAUCGCUAGUAAUCGUAGAUCAGCAUGCUACGGUGAAUACGUUCCCGGGUCU
This 1372-nucleotide ribosomal RNA is filed under the name uncultured bacterium. Its description in RNAcentral is "bacterial SSU rRNA". It matches the Rfam family "Bacterial small subunit ribosomal RNA", at positions 28 to 1381 of the family's 1533-position model. The record is from RNAcentral.